RNAcentral lists this long non-coding RNA (797 nucleotides) under Sorghum bicolor (sorghum). RNAcentral describes it as "long non-coding RNA (SBIC_LNC006363)". Lineage: Eukaryota; Viridiplantae; Streptophyta; Magnoliopsida; Poales; Poaceae. The record is from RNAcentral.
GAUAACCUCUAGGGUGAAGUGCUCACCGAUAUCCAUGCGCUUGCGGAUCAUUUCUUGAUGGCGUUACCAAAUAUAAACAAGCAUUUCUGGCGCCGUUGUCAGGGAGAAAGACGGUUUGUUGAGAUAACUUUAAGUCUUGCUAUUAUCUUGUAUUAUACUUUUAUACUUUUAUUCUUUUAUCUUUUUAUUUUUUCCAUCUUUAUGGAUAACUCAAAUUCCACACCUAUUAUAGAAUUUUUUUGCACCUUAAGAGACUAGCCAUACACCAUGGGAGUCAACAAGUCCUUUCUUUGCCCCUAAUUAUGAUCUGUGUCCGGAGUUGAUUGCAAUAGGUCAAAACCAACCCUUUUCUAUAGCUGAGGUCCUAUCUUUUAAUCAAGAAGAUAAUGAACUUUUAGCUACACCUAGGGAAUCUGUUAAUCUUUCUAUAAAUUCUGAUUUAAACCUAGCCCUACAAGACCAUGUUUUUUCUCGAUAUUUUCACAUAGGUCUUAAUCAUAUAGCCUUUGGUAGAGUAUUUCUUUCUUUAUCUAUUAGUAAAGGAAGGUAUGUCUUCAUUCGUGGACAUCCUUCUUGCACUAGUCUUCAUAAAAAAUUCCUGGAGAUAGAGAAGGAAUCAUCUCCCAGACAAGGAAAGGAAGUUUCAAUAUCCGAUUUCCAAACAUUUGAAUCCCAUGAUUCGGCUAUCCAACCCAUCCUUGAGCUUAAUAAUUUAUACUAUGCUCUUUCUCUUGAACCUCCCAAUGAUCCUAUGAAUCUCUCUAGACAUCCCAUUUAUAAGAGUCACUAAGACCAUA